AGGCCUAUUUGUACAGCUUGUAGGUGCAUUCAUGCACCCUCUGGGUCUCUGAGGAUCGUGUUGGCCAGUCCAUACGACAAUUCAACGCAUUAGAAGCGGUGUUCACGGUCUAUACAGCUUGGUUCCAAUGAGAUAAACUUGCAAAACAGCACCCAAUUGAAAACCAACAGAGAUCCCUUUUAAUGGUAAACAUGGAUCAAGUACCAAAUCAUCCACCUCAAUCCACCUUCAGAUAUGUUAAGGAAUUGACGGAAGACGAAAAUAAAGUGCUCUCAACAGAUGUUGAGCUGGAUCACAUCAGAGCAAAAAACAAUCUUAAGAUGCGUAAGGACCUUAAGAAAAUUAGUGACCAAUUGUCAACAGAAAAUAUCACGGAUAUCAAAUUUCUUCUUCGGGAUUUGAUUCCCUUGGGAAAGCUUGAACAAGUGAAGAGUGGGAUUCAUCUGUAUGAUGCUCUUGAAAGCCAACAGUUGAUGCGGAUCUCAUUUGAUGAGCCAAAUUUUGAGUUAUUAGUGGAUCUUCUAUAUUUCAUAUUUCGCUAUGACCUUCUACUUAUAUUAGGGUGUGAGCAACACAAUAUAAAAGCCAGACUUAAACUGAGGCCAUCUACAUGUAGGAUAUCAGAGUACAGACUUAUGCUAUAUAAGAUCAUUAUCAACCUUCAAGAGCAAGAAAAGAGGGCAAUGAUUGGAGAAGCCAGACCUUGGUUCAACCAUCUCCCAAAAGAACAGUUUGAAUGUAUAAAAUCCCUCCAAAUGCUAUUUAUCCAAAUGGAAAAGAUCAGAUAUUUGGCAGAAGAUAAAGUUGAUAAGCUACAAUGGCUGCUACAUAAAAUUGGAUCUAUGGAUUUAGUUGAGGACCUCAAAAAGUAUAAAAGAAACCAUUACUGCGGUGCAAGCUAUGGAGAAGGAAACAUUGAGGAAGCAAGCCCCUAUGCUGGUGAUAUAAACAACACAUACAAUGUUAAUCCUCAAGCAUUAGACUUACAUGUAAAGCAUCAGAAAUAUGCAAUGACUGUGCCAUUAACUGAUCCAAAGGGCCCUCCUUCACGACCUUCAGAGGAAUCAGAACCAGAAUUUGAAAAGUCAUCAUCGAAAGAUCUGUUGCAGGCGACAGAUCCAUAUAGCUUCCCCCCUCCACAGUCUCCUGGGUUGUCAGAUCAAGUUAAAAUGGUUGCAAUAGAAGACAAAGGAAAUAAAUUAUUAAAUCAGACUGUCAAUAAGUAUGAGGCCAGUGAAAAUAUCCCAUCUAUUAAUCAUGAACCAAUAGUCCCAGCAUCCAUUGAUGAGUUGAGCGAUGAUGAGCAAAUGGAUGACAGUGACUCACACAGAAGUGAUUUCGAUGAUAGCAGUGACUCUUUAGCAUCACCUAUUAAUAUAGCCAGGCCACCUGGUACUAGGGACAAUAUGAAUGCUAGCCUAGAUAACAGAACUAUAAGUAAUGCUCAAGAUCUGACACAAUUUAUGCUACCUGGUGACAGUACCAAUGUGAAUAAACAUGAUAAACUUUUACCAAAUAGGAAUGAUAACAAUUUGGAGGAAGUGCAAUAUUUGGAAUUUGGAAAAGACAAGCAAUGGAUUCCUAAAUCUCAGAGAAUUGCUAAUUUAGCGACUACUCAAUCAGCCAGUCCAGUGUCCCCAUCACCUAAAGCCCCAGAACCUCAUCCAAGUCCAUCAUUAGUGUCAGGCUCUGGUGGGAAUAAGGUGGGACUGAACCUUGUAAGUGAGCUACAUGGUGCAAAGUCAUCUAAAGGUAAAGAUGAUAUACAUGUAUCAGAAAGAAGGGGGCAUGUGUCCCAAGCAGGUCAGGUCCAGGGACAGGGGAAACUGCUUGUUGGUGCAUAUCAGAGUGCCAGUCCUGUGAACAGUCAAGAUCUCACAAUUAAUAAUCUUGAAACUGACAGUGAGCCAGAGGUAGUGUCACAGAUGUUGGAGAGUUACACUAUAGAAUCUAAGCCUAAAGGAUUGUGUCUUAUCUUUAAUAACUACAAGUUUGAUAAAUUGCCAGGGGGACAAAAUAGUCAGGUUCAAGCCCUUGAGGAUAGGAAUGGUACUGAUGUGGAUUUAGAAAAACUCAAGAAAUUAUUUACCCAACUGGGAUUCCAAGUGGUAGUGGAAGAAAAUUUGACGUCAUGUGAUAUGCUAAAUAAGUCCGUGGCAUAUUCUAGAACAAGAAAAUUCAGCGAGUUCCAUGAGAAGUCUGAUGCAUUUGUGUGGUGUAUUUUGUCGCAUGGCAUCAGGGAUGCUGUGUUUGGUACAGAUGGCAAAGAGGUGAACAUCAACAGUUUGACAUAUUUCUUCAAAGGUAGCAACUGUCCAGAGCUAAUAGGGAAACCAAAGAUGUUAUUUGUUCAAGCAUGUAGGGGUAUACACGAAAGCAAAGCUGUGGUCCCUUUAAAGAAAAGUGAACAGUUUCGGACUGAUGGUCCAACGGCUACAACACCUGAUGAGGCUGAUUGGGUGAUUGGACAAGCUACAUCACAAGGUCAUAUGUCAUUUAGGAGCGAAUCUCAUGGAACUUGGUACAUCACAAAACUUUGUGAGAAUUUAAACAGAUACCAUGGAAGAAAAUAUGACUUGUUACAAAUUCUGACAAAAGUGAACCAAGACUUGGCAAAGGGUGAAGCUGAUUUCGAAGACAAAUAUGGAAACUCUUACAUUGGAAAGCAACAGCCAGUACCAUAUUUUACCAUAAACAAGAACAUAUACCUUACUUGCAUAAACUCUAAGUGCAAAAGAUGCUCAUGAAGCAUAAGCUAAGGAUCUUUGAUUAGCUUACCAAAAUGGCAUUACAUACAAACCUGUUCUUAGGUUAUUUUCACUUAUAUCUUAUGACGAUACCAUCUGGUCUGAAAUGAAUGAAACCUGGCAAUGACAGGUAGAGACCUUAAGCUCAAGCCUUGGAUGUUCAAACGACUUCUAGGAACAUCAUUCAAAUGAUUGAAUUGAAGGCAUCACAUUAAAAACUACUGUACUCCUCUUUGCAGACUGCUUUAAGGUCAGGGUGCAUGUUCGGAAUUUUGCUGCAACCCUCAAUAGAAAGAUGUAGACAAUGUGGGAGA
Molecule: unclassified non-coding RNA, 3061 nt
Filed under: Owenia fusiformis
Lineage: Eukaryota; Metazoa; Annelida; Polychaeta; Sabellida; Oweniidae
Description: misc RNA OFUS_LOCUS14961
Source: RNAcentral